UCACACAAGAGACCCAAAUUAACCGUAAACGGCGUAAAGAGUGGUACCAUGAUAUCAUAGCAGCUAGGACUGAAGUGCAACUAAGCUGUCAUAAGCUCAAGAUGUACCUAAGGCCACCUUUAAGAUGAUCCUAGCGUUGCCUGACUAAUUUAACCCCACGAAAGCUAAGACACAAACUGGGAUUAGAUACCCCAUUAUGCCUAGCCCUAAAUCUUGAUGCUUGCCAUACCAAAGCAUCCGCCUGAGAACUACGAGCACAAACGCUUAAAACUCUAAGGACUUGGCGGUGCCCCAAACCCACCUAGAGGAGCCUGUUCUGUAAUCGAUAACCCACGAUUCACCCGACCGCCCCUUGCCAAUGCAGCCUACAUACCGCCGUCGCCAGCCCACCUCUCCUGAGAGCCCUACAGUGAGCACAAUAGCCUAAACCCGCUAACAAGACAGGUCAAGGUAUAGCCCAUGGAGCGGAAGAAAUGGGCUACAUUUUCUACAAUAGAAAA
Molecule: ribosomal RNA, 500 nt
Filed under: Brachyramphus marmoratus
Lineage: Eukaryota; Metazoa; Chordata; Aves; Charadriiformes; Alcidae
Description: partial small subunit ribosomal RNA
Rfam family: Bacterial small subunit ribosomal RNA
Source: RNAcentral